RNAcentral lists this long non-coding RNA (1145 nucleotides) under Pan troglodytes (chimpanzee). Its description in RNAcentral is "long non-coding RNA NONPTRT005529". The record is from RNAcentral. Lineage: Eukaryota; Metazoa; Chordata; Mammalia; Primates; Hominidae.
CGAGCACAGGUUGGACAGCAGCUCUGAGAAGAUGAAUUCCUUGGUCUGCCUGCUCUGCCGACUCCUCCAGGAGUGUCUGCUCAUUCCCACGUGAGUACAGGUUGGACAGCAGCUCUGAGAAGCAGCAUCUCGUCGCGCCACUGUGCCUGCUCUGCCGACUCCUGCACGAGUGUCUUCUGGUUCCCACGCGAGUGCAGGUUGGACAGCAGCUCUCAGAAGACGAAUUCCUUGGUCUGCCUGCUUUGCCGACUCCUCCAGGAGUGUCUGCUCCAUCCCACGCGAGUACAGGUUGGACAGCAGCUCUGAGAAGAUGAACUCCUUGGUCUGCCUGCUCUGUCGACUCCUCCACGAGUGUCUUCUGGUUCCCACGCGAGUGCAGGUGGGACAGCAGCUGCGAGAAGAUGAAUUCCUUGGUCUGCCUGCUCUGCCGACUCCUCCAGGAGUGUCUUCUCGUUCCCACGCGAGUACAGGUUGGACAGCAGCUCCGAGAAGAUGAACUCCCUGGUCUGCCUGCUCUGCCGACUCCUCCAGGAGUGUCUGCUCGUUCCCACGCGAGUAGAGGUUGGACAGCAGCUCCGAGAAGAUGAACUCCUUGGUCUGCCUGCUCUGUCGACUCCUCCUGGAGUGUCUUCUCGUUCCCACGCGAGUACAGGUUGUACAGCAGCUCCCAGAAAAUGAACUCCUUGGUCUGCCUACCCUGUCGCCUCCUCCAGGAGUGUCUUCUCGUUCCCACGCGAGUACACGUUGGACAGCAGCUCCGAGAAGAUGAAUUCCUGGUUCUGCCUGCUCUGCCGACUCCUCCAGGAGGGUCUGCUCGUUCCCACGGGAGUACAGGUUGGCCAGCAGCGAUGAGAAGAUGAACUCCUUGGUCUGCCUGCUCUGCCGACUCCUCCACGAGUGUCUUCUGGUUCCCACGCGAGUGCAGGUUGGACAGCAGCUCCGAGAAGAUGAAUUCCUUGGUCUGCCUGCUUUGCCGACUCCUCCAGGAGUGUCUUCCCGUUCCCACGCGAGUACAGGUUGGACAGCAGCUCUGAGAAGCAGCAUCUCGUCGCGCCACUGUGCCUGCUCUGCCGACUCCUGCACGAGUGUCUUCUGGUUCCCACGCGAGUGCAGGUUGGACAGCAGCUCUCAGAAGAUGAAUCCCU